AAUUUCACCUCCAAGAUGAAUGCACAAGUUAUAAGGGUAAAUUCUUCCUUUUGCAUUAUUAAUUCAUUGACGAGGAUAUAGAAUUUUUUUACAUUUCUGUUUCUGUAUUAAUUGCUCUUAUGCCAGGAGACGGAGACUAUAGAUGGACAAGGAAAUGUGGAUUGCCGGUCAUCGGCGGCAGGGCAAUGCCAAGAGAUUAGGAAUGUACAGGUGACUCACCAGCCACAUCCCAAGGAAAAUUCGAAAACAAGUGGCGGUGUUUUGUCUAAUGCUGCUGCUUCUAUUGCAUCUACCCUUGAGUCUGCCAGGGAUGCCAUCAUCAGAAAUUGAAACCUCACUUGUUUAACUGAACAUUUUUCAGUUCUAUGCCUAUUAUAGCA
Molecule: long non-coding RNA, 380 nt
Filed under: Manihot esculenta (cassava)
Lineage: Eukaryota; Viridiplantae; Streptophyta; Magnoliopsida; Malpighiales; Euphorbiaceae
Description: long non-coding RNA (MESC_LNC008132)
Source: RNAcentral